This 1281-nucleotide ribosomal RNA is filed under the name uncultured bacterium. RNAcentral's name for it is "partial 16S ribosomal RNA". It matches the Rfam family "Bacterial small subunit ribosomal RNA", at positions 90 to 1383 of the family's 1533-position model. The record is from RNAcentral.
ACUUAGUGGCGGACGGGUGAGUAACGCGUGAGCAACCUGCCUUUCAGAGGGGGAUAACGUUUGGAAACGAACGCUAAUACCGCAUAACAUAUCGGAGCCGCAUGACUCUGAUAUCAAAGGAGCAAUCCGCUGAAAGAUGGCCUCGCGUCUGAUUAGCUAGUUGGUGGGGUAACGGCCCACCAAGGCGACGAUCAGUAGCCGGUCUGAGAGGAUGAACGGCCACAUUGGGACUGAGAUACGGCCCAGACUCCUACGGGAGGCAGCAGUGGGGAAUAUUGGGCAAUGGGCGAAAGCCUGACCCAGCAACGCCGCGUGAAGGAAGAAGGCCUUCGGGUUGUAAACUUCUUUUACCAGGGACGAAGGACGUGACGGUACCUGGAGAAAAAGCAACGGCUAACUACGUGCCAGCAGCCGCGGUAAUACGUAGGUUGCAAGCGUUGUCCGGAUUUACUGGGUGUAAAGGGCGUGUAGGCGGAGAUGCAAGUUAGGAGUGAAAUCUAUGGGCUCAACCCAUAAACUGCUUCUAAAACUGUAUCCCUUGAGUAUCGGAGAGGCAAGCGGAAUUCCUAGUGUAGCGGUGAAAUGCGUAGAUAUUAGGAGGAACACCAGUGGCGAAGGCGGCUUUCUGGACGAUAACUGACGCUGAGGCGCGAAAGUGUGGGGAGCAAACAGGAUUAGAUACCCUGGUAGUCCACACUGUAAACGAUGGAUACUAGGUGUAGGAGGUAUCGACCCCUUCUGUGCCGCAGUUAACACAAUAAGUAUCCCACCUGGGGAGUACGACCGCAAGGUUGAAACUCAAAGGAAUUGACGGGGGCCCGCACAAGCAGUGGAGUAUGUGGUUUAAUUCGAAGCAACGCGAAGAACCUUACCUGGGCUUGACAUCCCGACGACCGCUCUGGAGACAGAGCUUUUCUUCGGAACGUCGGUGACAGGUGGUGCAUGGUUGUCGUCAGCUCGUGUCGUGAGAUGUUGGGUUAAGUCCCGCAACGAGCGCAACCCCUAUCUUCAGUAGCCAGCAGGUAGAGCUGGGCACUCUGGAGAGACUGCCAGGGAUAACCUGGAGGAAGGUGGGGACGACGUCAAAUCAUCAUGCCCCUUAUGAUCUGGGCGACACACGUGCUACAAUGGCGGUCACAGAGUGAGGCGAACCCGCGAGGGGGAGCAAACCACAAAAAGGCCGUCCCAGUUCGGACUGUAGUCUGCAACCCGACAACACGAAGCUGGAAUCGCUAGUAAUCGCGAAUCAGAAUGUCGCGGUGAAUACGUUCCCGGGUCUUG